UCUAGUCCGCGCAAAAAGAAAAACAAAUUUUCACAUCCCAUCUCUCCAUCCCCCAAUUCCUCUUUCAGCCGAGAUCCAUGGGCCAUGACUCUGCCGCCACGACCUCCGGUUCGGCCUAGCUCUAGUGCUCUCCCACGCCCUUGCUCGCUGGCCCUAGCUCCCCCCCUGAGUACUAUCCUCUGAUCUUCCGCCGCCGUGACAUGACAUCCUCCGGGCCCUUGCACGUGCCCCUGGAGCAACCCUAGUCUCAACGGGUCACCGCUGCAGCUCCCUGCUCCUCCGGUUCGUCAACUCAUUAACCCCUGCAUCUCCACACGCAUGGGUGCUGCCCCUGGCUCGACGGUGCUGCUCCGCGUGGCUAACUCCACUCCAACAACAAUGGUUUAGUAAGGCACUCCUCUCCUCUGCUCUUAUCUUAUCCUCUCUGGUCAUGUCUCAUGUGUGUCAUGUCUACCUAGGGUUUGCCGUCGUGGCGUCGUAGAUCACGGCUGGAUACAACAAAAAUCGCGACCACUCUCUACGGGGAGGCUGCCAUGGUCGCCUACGGCUUACCCCACCGUUCAGGCGCUCACCUAGAUUCAUGUCCCUCAACGACGUGGUUGUCCCCUUAUCCUCAAUGAUCCAUUCCCCCCUAAUUAACAACAUGGCGGCUUCUAUAAUUCUAUUGGCAUGUGGUGCCCCAACUUCUCUAAACUUCCACUUGUGCAAUGGGAGGACCAAUUAGGUACGAGAUUGGCCAACAUGUUUGUCCCCUUCCAAUUCAAUUGGUCAAUGAAUGUUGGUACUACUGUACUUAAGUUAUGGCUAGGGAUCCUCUUUUUUGUUGGAGGAAACUUGAUCCUCUAAUUUUGUUAUGCAUGUUUUUGCUGGUGAUCCCCUGCUUUAGUUGUGCAGGCCAUAAUUGUGUGUUGAACUAUCUGUAUGUAUUUAUUUACAUGACUAUCACACUCUAGAGUGCUGAUUAGUGCCACAUUAUACUGCAGAACAAAAUAAUUAUUUUACCUUGGAUGAUCAUUCACCAGUCUUGUUUCCACAUCAAUGGCUGCAUCUUUCGAGACUUAUCAGGAGUGAGUCUAGUUUUCCGUCGAAACAAGGGUGAGUGCGCAUUAUUUAUUCACUCCUUUUACAAAAGCUUCUGUUGUCAAGGAGGAGAUAUUCGGUAAUAAGGAGAGGUUAUAUGAAUCAUAGUCUAAACAUCCCGGACUUGCCAGCAUACGAAGGUAUGUGGGUAAAAAAAUUGUUUCGUUUGAACAUUUUUGUUUAGUUUCAGUUAAUUCUAAAUACUGAAAUCUUUGUACUUAUGUUCAAGUUAUGAUGAAUUGCAAUCAUUUUUAGACCAGAAAGAUGCAUCACAACAAAGCCGCUUCGCACAAUGCUGUACUACAUCUUUUAUUCUCACUAGUAUGUGAAUUUUAAGUUUUUACUUAAUUAUUGAACUAUGGUCUUGCAGGUUAAUAUAAAGAUACAAAAGCUACUUGAGGUAAUCAUAUUUUCGAAUUUUAUGAGUUCUGGGAAGAUAAAUAGGACCAACGAUGAUGAGAGCACGUCAAUGACAUCACAUAGGUGUGGUAUUCAUCAAUCCCUUCUUUCUUUCUGUCUGUGCGUUUCAUGUGUAUACAAAUUCAUCUUUAUAUGCCAUAUUAAUUUUUCAUUUAGAUUCAGGAUGCAGGACGUUUCCCCAUCCGCCCGCAACCAAAAUGGUAGGAUUCGCACCACCCCGUCUCCGUAAGUUUUAACUGCCUGCUACAGUUGGCGGGCACAUGCGGACUUCCAUGUCUCUGUUUAGCUGAUGUUCGUAGUGCUAAGUACAGUACGCUAGUUUGCAAGUUGGCUGCUAUACAGUAUACACAUUCAUAUGUCACUGUCUACAUUCAGAUUUCUAGUUUGUAAACUACACGCUCAUGUAGACAAUCAGCUAUGUAGACAUAAAAUAUGCUAAUGCCAACACAUUCAGAUUAUGUAUAUAUAUAAUUUUCGUAUGCUGAAUCCGCAGUUAUAAUAUCUUUGUACAGAAUAUAAUAGCUUGUACUGAGUUAAUGCAGUAUACUAUGCGCAUGCACUAUUCCUUCAAUAGUAAGAGUAAUACUGCAAAUCUUCCGGUUCCAUAAAGAAUUCAUAGUAAUGGUAAUAAAGAAGGGGCCUGAUGCUCCUUCAAGAAUUCUGAUUAAGUAAAGUACAGUACCAACUUCAACAUUUCAGCAUAAUAAGCACAUGAGGCGAGCCAUGAAAAAUCGGAAAUUUCCAUUUUGGCAUCCUCUUUCCUUGAUAGAUCUUCCUCACUACUUAUUGGUUCUGCACACAAGGAAAUUAUUUCAGACCAAAGCAUCAUUUCAAGCAAGAAUGCAUUUCCAAUUAUAGAUCAAUAAAAAAUGGUUUAACAGAUAAUGAUGAGGAGUUCGCGAGGAAAAUUAGUAAUGAAGUCUUCUGACAAGCCAAGAACAAUGUGCUAGGAACUUAUAUUAGCGAUCAUGUGCCAGUACUUAGAAUCUGAAGUAGUUGUUUGAUAUCUGCUGGCAUUAGUAGAAGUAAAUUUGAAUUAUUCUCACUAAAAUUGCCCGAGAUGACAUCUUUUCUUCGCUGAUGGUGUGGCGUGCAUACCAGUUCUAUUGAGAAACUGUUAGUAGAAGCACUUGACUAGAUUCGAAUGAUCUAAGUACAACAAGCAGCCACUUACUACUAGCAGCUAUAGUUUCUCUGAGCACACACUGCUCAUUACAACAACUAACUAAGAUUAAAGUUUCCUUUGCUUGUUUUCAGGUGCAGAACCCACGUGUUUAGAGUUCAAACAUAUUCUUACAACAUGUAGCAGUAGUCCUUCCAUGUUGCUGAUAAACCACUCAUCCAAUUUUAUAUCCGCUCAUGUGAUAGCUUUAUUAUUUCCUCCACAUUUAGCACAAUCUGUUCACCCAUUACAAUCGAUGUUAUUAAUUGAAUAUGUUGACGUGCAUUUCACUGUACCAAAUUUACAGGAUUAUAGCCAGAAUUAGUUUUUUUACCUACAUGCUUUUCUUUGCUUAUAUUGUCUGAACCUAAAUUUGUACAUGACUCCAAAGGGAUCACCUCGAAAUAAGAAGGAAAUUCUUGUUUAUAACUUGCACUUUAAAUUCGUCCAGAACUUAUUUAUUAUCCAAAGUAGUAAUACUAAUUGUUUCUAUUUUCUUCAUUGCUAGCAGUAUAGCGGCAACUAGCAGGAACUAUCUUCAGGAUAUGGAGCUAUGGAUGCCAUGAGACACUGAUCAUUUGCGUUUAGUUGAUGAAGAUUGAACAUGUCAGUCUAGAUGCUCCUGUGCUGAGCUUAGGUUUUGUUUUAUGCAAUGAAGCUUUGAUCCAUUUCUAGGUACAGUGCACAUGUUCUUGCUAUACACAUGUGUACAAGCUGAAUGUAAUACUUAGAACAAAGCAUAUCUAUAUACAAUAUCAUGUACUUUGGAUGGUGUUCUUUGUAAAGCAACAUUGUUGAUUUAAUAUAUGAGGUCUUUCUUACUA
Molecule: long non-coding RNA, 3486 nt
Filed under: Triticum aestivum (bread wheat)
Lineage: Eukaryota; Viridiplantae; Streptophyta; Magnoliopsida; Poales; Poaceae
Description: long non-coding RNA (TAES_LNC004568)
Source: RNAcentral